Molecule: non-coding RNA, 297 nt
Organism: Myodes glareolus (Bank vole)
Lineage: Eukaryota; Metazoa; Chordata; Mammalia; Rodentia; Cricetidae
Source: RefSeq, a predicted model, not a curated record
AUGGGACAAAGGAGCAGAGUUGGGGUCCUCACCAGAUGUCCAGGAUGAGGAGUGUGGCCACGAUGGCAUAGACACCAUCACUGAAAGCUUCCACCCGCUCUUUGCUGAGAGAUGGAGGGACAGCAGGAGCAACAAAGGAAAAUGCAGAAAACUGUCCUUUAUGGAAACGAACUGUGUAUAAAGGCUUAAUCUCAAAAGGAAGAACUAUCAUAAAUAAGAAAUGCAUACCAGUCGUGUACUUUCUGAGAAUUUAGUAUCCAGAAUACAUAAAGAAUGGAAACAGCUCAACAACAGAAG